ACUUUUAGUUAACGAAGUGGUUGAUGCCAUGCUUCCAAGAAAAGCUUCUAAGCUUCAGGUAACCAGGAACCGUACCCCAAACCGACACAGGUGGUUGGGUAGAGAAUACCAAGGCGCUUGAGAGAACUCGGGUGAAGGAACUAGGCAAAAUGGCACCGUAACUUCGGGAGAAGGUGCGCCGGUGAGGGUGAAGGACUUGCUCCGUAAGCCCAUGCCGGUCGAAGAUACCAGGCCGCUGCGACUGUUUAUUAAAAACACAGCACUCUGCAAACACGAAAGUGGACGUAUAGGGUGUGACGCCUGCCCGGUGCCGGAAGGUUAAUUGAUGGGGUUAGCUAACGCGAAGCUCUUGAUCGAAGCCCCGGUAAACGGCGGCCGUAACAAUAACGGUCCUAAGGUAGCGAAAUUCCUUGUCGGGUAAGUUCCGACCUGCACGAAUGGCGUAACGAUGGCGGCGCUGUCUCCACCCGAGACUCAGUGAAAUUGAAAUCGCUGUGAAGAUGCAGUGUAUCCGCGGCUAGACGGAAAGACCCCGUGAACCUUUACUAUAGCUUUGCACUGGACUUUGAAUUUGCUUGUGUAGGAUAGGUGGGAGGCUUUGAAGCGUGGACGCCAGUUCGCGUGGAGCCAACCUUGAAAUACCACCCUGGCAACUUUGAGGUUCUAACUCAGGUCCGUUAUCCGGAUCGAGGACAGUGUAUGGUGGGUAGUUUGACUGGGGCGGUCUCCUCCUAAAGAGUAACGGAGGAGUACGAAGGUGCGCUCAGACCGGUCGGAAAUCGGUCGUAGAGUAUAAAGGCAAAAGCGCGCUUGACUGCGAGACAGACACGUCGAGCAGGUACGAAAGUAGGUCUUAGUGAUCCGGUGGUUCUGUAUGGAAGGGCCAUCGCUCAACGGAUAAAAGGUACUCCGGGGAUAACAGGCUGAUACCGCCCAAGAGUUCAUAUCGACGGCGGUGUUUGGCACCUCGAUGUCGGCUCAUCACAUCCUGGGGCUGAAGCCGGUCCCAAGGGUAUGGCUGUUCGCCAUUUAAAGUGGUACGCGAGCUGGGUUUAGAACGUCGUGAGACAGUUCGGUCCCUAUCUGCCGUGGACGUUUGAGAUUUGAGAGGGGCUGCUCCUAGUACGAGAGGACCGGAGUGGACGAACCUCUGGUGUUCCGGUUGUCACGCCAGUGGCAUUGCCGGGUAGCUAUGUUCGGAAUAGAUAACCGCUGAAAGCAUCUAAGCGGGAAACUAGCCUCAAGAUGAGAUCUCACUGGGACCUUGAGUCCCCUGAAGGGCCGUCGAAGACUACGACGUUGAUAGGUUGGGUGUGUAAGCGCUGUGAGGCGUUGAGCUAACCAAUACUAAUUGCCCGUGAGGCUUGACCGA
This 1372-nucleotide ribosomal RNA is filed under the name Sipyloidea sipylus. Its description in RNAcentral is "bacterial LSU rRNA". It matches the Rfam family "Bacterial large subunit ribosomal RNA", at positions 1576 to 2925 of the family's 2925-position model. The record is from RNAcentral. Lineage: Eukaryota; Metazoa; Arthropoda; Insecta; Phasmatodea; Lonchodidae.